GAUGAACGCUAGCUACAGGCUUAACACAUGCAAGUCGAGGGGAAACGACAUCGAAAGCUUGCUUUUGAUGGGCGUCGACCGGCGCACGGGUGAGUAACGCGUAUCCAACCUGCCCACCACUUGGGGAUAACCUUGCGAAAGUAAGACUAAUACCCGAUGAUAUCCCUAGACGACAUCUGAAAGGGAUUAAAGAUUUGUCGGUGAUGGAUGGGGAUGCGUCUGAUUAGUUUGUUGGCGGGGUAACGGCCCACCAAGGCAACGAUCAGUAGGGGUUCUGAGAGGAAGGUCCCCCCACAUUGGAACUGAGACACGGUCCAAACUCCUACGGGAGGCAGCAGUGAGGAAUAUUGGUCAAUGGGCGAGAGCCUGAACCAGCCAAGUAGCGUGCAGGACGACGGCCCUAUGGGUUGUAAACUGCUUUUAUAAGGGAAUAAAGUGAGUCUCGUGAGACUUUUUGCAUGUACCUUAUGAAUAAGGACCGGCUAAUUCCGUG
RNAcentral lists this ribosomal RNA (493 nucleotides) under uncultured bacterium. RNAcentral describes it as "bacterial SSU rRNA". It matches the Rfam family "Bacterial small subunit ribosomal RNA", at positions 28 to 507 of the family's 1533-position model. The record is from RNAcentral.